Molecule: unclassified non-coding RNA, 260 nt
Filed under: Fusarium solani
Lineage: Eukaryota; Fungi; Ascomycota; Sordariomycetes; Hypocreales; Nectriaceae
Description: partial contains 5.8S ribosomal RNA, internal transcribed spacer 2, and large subunit ribosomal RNA
Source: RNAcentral
CGCACAUUGCGCCCGCCAGUAUUCUGGCGGGCAUGCCUGUCCGAGCGUCAUUACAACCCUCAGGCCCCCGGGCCUGGUGUUGGGGAUCGGCGGAGCCCUCCGGGGCACACGCCGUCCCCCAAAUUCAGUGGCGGUCUCGCUGCAGCCUCCAUUGCGUAGUAGCUAACACCUCGCAACUGGAAGGCGGCGCGGCCACGCCGUAAAACCCCCAACUUCUGAAUGUUGACCUCGGAUCAGGUAGGAAUACCCGCUGAACUUAA